GAUGAAGAACGCAGCGAAAUGCGAUACGUAAUGUGAAUUCUAGAAUUCAGUGAAUCAUCGAGUCUUUGAACGCACAUUGCGCCCCCUGGUAUUCCGGGGGGCAUGCCUGUCCGAGCGUCAUUGCUGCCCUCAAGCACGGCUUGUGUGUUGGGCCUCCGUCCUCCUCCCGGGGGACGGGCCCGAAAGGCAGCGGCGGCACCGCGUCCGGUCCUCGAGCGUAUGGGGCUUCGUCACCCGCUCUUGUAGGCCCGGCCGGCGCUUGCCGACACAUCAAUCUUUUUUCCAGGUUGACCUCGGAUCAGGUAGGGAUACCCGCUGAACUUAAGCAUAUCAAUAAGCGGAGGA
RNAcentral lists this unclassified non-coding RNA (345 nucleotides) under soil metagenome. RNAcentral's name for it is "partial contains 5.8S ribosomal RNA, internal transcribed spacer 2, and large subunit ribosomal RNA". The stretch from base 1 to 120 matches the Rfam family "5.8S ribosomal RNA", at positions 35 to 154 of the family's 154-position model. The record is from RNAcentral.